GACGAACGCUGGCGGCGUGCUUAACACAUGCAAGUCGAACGGAAAGGCCUGCUUUCCCUUGUGGGUUGCGGGUACUCGAGUGGCGAACGGGUGAGUAACACGUGAGUGAUCUGCCCCCAACUUGGGUAUAAGCCUGGGAAACUGGGUCUAAUUCCCGAUAGGACUGCAGGGUGGUGCCUGUGGUGGAAAACGAUUUUCUAGUGGUUGGGGAUGAGCUCGCGGCCUAUCAGCUUGUUGGUGGGGUAAUGGCCUACCAAGGCGGCGACGGGUAGCCGGCCUGGGAGGGUGGACGGCCACAUUGGAACUGAGAUACGGCCCAGACGCCUGCGGGAGGAAGGAGUGGGGAAUAAUGCACAAUGGGCGGAAGCCUGAUGCAGCGACGCCGCGUGGGGGAUGACGGCCUUCGGGUUGUAAACUCCUUUCGACCGCGAGGAAGCCACCUGGUUGGAAGGGUGGUGACGGUAGUGGUAGAAGAAGCACCGGCUAACUACGUG
Molecule: ribosomal RNA, 494 nt
Filed under: uncultured bacterium
Lineage: Bacteria
Description: partial 16S ribosomal RNA
Rfam family: Bacterial small subunit ribosomal RNA
Source: RNAcentral